AAAAAAAGAAACAGCAAUAGAGUGAUAAUUUUUUGAGAGAGAUGACGGAAAUCACAAACCGGAGAUCGCUGCGGUUCCUUGUCUUCUUCUCCUCGAUUUGUCUGCAAUUGAUUUCAGGCUUGGCCAAAGACCCAUCAAACUCUGAUAAUGGGAUAAAAACUGAGACCCGUGCUGCUUCCAAUCAGGGUACUGGGCUUAGGGUAUUUAUAAUAUGCCUUGGCGUGAUUGCUCUUGUGGCAUUUUCUGUAUUUCUAUUCAAGCAUUGGCAAAAGAAGAAAAGAGAAGAGCAGCAUGCUCGCCUUUUAAGGCUGUUCGAAGAAGAUGAUGAGCUAGAGCUUGAGCUUGGUCUUCGGGAUUGAGACCUGUUCUAUUUUGGGUGUAAUUUAGCUGAGGUUUAUUGGCCAUUGGUUGUUUGGAUGCUAGUACAAAUGAUGUUUAGAGUUUGGAGAUUUACGAUUCUUAAAAGCUCCUAUAAGGAUAGGUGUUCUCCUCUUUUAAAUUUUGUAGCCUUUUGUAAUGAUAAAUGUUAGAAGUGAAAACAUUUCAAGGAAUGGAAUUGGAACUUUGCUAAACAAAGGGUCACCUUGUACAAAACGUUUUGGAGGAUCAACUCCCUUGUAGCUUAAAUUGCUUUGUUUGCAUAAAACCUGUGUAAUUGAUAAAUCAUCCAAGUUGAUUGUUCCAUGGGCCAAAUUGGUUGAAAA
Non-coding RNA from Nelumbo nucifera (sacred lotus), 704 nucleotides. NCBI's taxonomy places the organism in Eukaryota, Viridiplantae, Streptophyta, Magnoliopsida, Proteales, Nelumbonaceae. The record is from RefSeq and is a predicted model, not a curated record.